GGUUGUUUGGGUCCACCAGCUCUAUGUUGCCCAGGGCGCAACGACUACUGCCGAAGAGGGUGUUACUGUGACGAGUACUGUGUGACAGUGGGUGACUGCUGUCCUGACUAUAAUCCAACCUGUAAACAAUCAAGCAGUACAACACUUGCACCACUUAAUGUGACCACAACCUCAGGAUCCAGUCUUUCUUCAACAUUUUCUCCCACCUCUAGUAAUUCAGCUAUAGCGAUUGCUCACCUAAAAGUGUCCUUACUAUCUAAUUUUGAAACCAAAGAACAAGCGAUAUCAGAAAUUUCAUCACUUCUUCAGAGACUUGUGCAGCAGAGAUGUACUGGCUGUGCCGUGACGGUAAAGCCCGUGUGAGGCUUUGGACAAUGAAAGCAUGAAUUAGAAUGAAGCAACACGGUGAUGACAGACUCCAACACUCACAAUAAAAUCUAAUUAAACCGGUAAAGUUAACUGACUGUUUCAGAAUGAAUAAAGUGACAGACACUUUUUCUCAACUAGUAGUA
Pundamilia nyererei is the source of this 512-nucleotide long non-coding RNA. RefSeq lists it as uncharacterized. The transcript is spliced from 4 exons. NCBI's taxonomy places the organism in Eukaryota, Metazoa, Chordata, Actinopteri, Cichliformes, Cichlidae. The record is from RefSeq and is a predicted model, not a curated record.